Dalotia coriaria is the source of this 390-nucleotide long non-coding RNA. RefSeq lists it as uncharacterized. The transcript has 2 exons. The record is from RefSeq and is a predicted model, not a curated record. Lineage: Eukaryota; Metazoa; Arthropoda; Insecta; Coleoptera; Staphylinidae.
CCUAACCAAAAAAUAUCAAUAUUUUAAUUAAAAAACACAAUUUUAAGUAAAAUAUGUUUAAAAACUACGAAAAACGAAAUUAAAACGGUUUAAAAUACUUAAAACCAACAGUAUUGACUCGAAUCGAGUCCGAAACCAGUAAAAACCGGUUAAAAUCAGCGAUAACCACACAAAACUAUAACGUACAAGCUGUUUUCUGUACCAGCAUGAAGAAAUACCUGAGAGUUUGUAAUUAGUAAUCGUCAAGGUCGACGUCGUCCAGCGGUUCAUCCGCCUGCAGCGACUGAAAGUCUACCUUGUACCGCAAGAUGCCUAACGAGAUCGCAAGCAGUCCGCAAAGCAGCAUGUUAGUAAUAAAAGUCACAGGUUAACAAUUUUGCAAAAGCAAAA